This 955-nucleotide ribosomal RNA is filed under the name uncultured bacterium. RNAcentral describes it as "bacterial SSU rRNA". It matches the Rfam family "Bacterial small subunit ribosomal RNA", at positions 535 to 1501 of the family's 1533-position model. The record is from RNAcentral.
CCAACAGCACAGAAUUACUGGGCGUAAGCGCCCGCAGGCGGUCCGUUACGUUCAAGGUGACAGUUGUCGGCUUAACCGGCAGAGUACCUUGAAAACCGGCGGACUUGAGGACCAGAGAGGGACCUGGAAUUCCGGGUGUAGCAGUGACAUGCGUAGAUACCUGGAGGAAUACCAAAGGCGAAGGCAGGGUCCUGGCUGGUACCUGACGCUCAGGGGCGAAAGCUAGGGGAGCGAACGGGAUUAGAUACCCCGGUAGUCCUAGCUGUAAACGAUGACCACUAGAUGCGCGGGGUUCGACCCCCUGCGUGCCGUAGUUAACACGAUAAGUGGUCCGCCUGGGGAGUACGGUCGCAAGAUUAAAACUCAAAGGAAUUGACGGGGACCCGCACAAGCAGCGGAGCGUGUGGUUUAAUUCGACGCGACACGAAGAACCUUACCAGGGCUUGACAUGCAGUCGCACCAUCCAGAGAUGGAUGUGCCCGCAAGGGACGGCUGCACAGGUGCUGCAUGGCUGUCGUCAGCUCGUGCCGUGAGGUGUUGGGUUAAGUCCCGCAACGAGCGCAACCCUUAUCGUCAGUUACAAUGUCUGACGAGACUGCCACUGGAAAGUGGAGGAAGGUGGGGAUGACGUCAAGUCAGCACGGCCCUUACGUCCUGGGCUACACACACGCUACAAUGGCCGAGACAAAGAGUGGCGAACCCGCAAGGGGGAGCGAAUCUUAGCAAACUCGGUCUCAGUACAGAUUGCAGGCUGCAACCCGCCUGCAUGAAGUCGGAGUUGCUAGUAACCGUGAGUCAGCAUAUCACGGUGAAUACGUUCCCGGGUCUUGUACACACCGCCCGUCACACCACGAAAGUCGGCAACACCUGAAGCCGCCGGACUAACCCGAACCUUCGGGAGGUAGGCGUCGAGGGUGAGGUCGGUGAUUGGGGGUGAAGUCGUAACAAGGUAACC